AAGGUCAGGUGUAUAUGCAUUGAUGCAACCCUGAAAUAAGGUAGGCUGAAGUUAAUAUCUUUCUUGGAUAUUAGAGUCGCUGACCAGAAGGUCUGCAGGGUGUUUAUUAUGUUGAUGUAAGGAAUUAGGUCAGCUGUGUGUAUUGUAUCCUAUAAAUACAACCUCAUGCAUGUACGUUAAAUAGACGCAAGUAGCUUGUUGUAACAAGAUAGAAAAAGGGAGCAGAAGCUCUGUGUUUGUGAAACAAAAAAAGGCUGUAGCCUAAGUACUCUGUGUAAGGCAAAAUUCAGCCAUAACCUUAUUUCACAUAUAUAUAAUAGUGUGCUUGUGUUUAGAUUUCUGUUUUUAUUUCCCACCAUACAGUAAACAUAUAAAGCCUAUUCACGUUUCCAACAUCGCUAGUUUUUGUUCUCCCUUCUCAGAUCUAGGCAGCCAUUGAUAUAUGAAUGGAACAGUUAAAUAUGUUGCAUUUCAUGUGCUUUCACCCGAGGGUGACCGGGGUCUUACAAUAUUCGAAGUUGCAGACAAGAUUCAAAUCUGACAACAAGCAUGACACCAGAAGCCUCAAUUGCUGCUGCCUUUUCAAGGGUUCCAAGCUUUUUGAGAGGACAGCUACAUCAACUUGUUACAAGAAUGGAAUCUUAGGUGGAGAAGUUGAGGAUUUUGAUAAAGAUGAAGCAGACAGCAGAGAUGGAGACUGAAGAGACAAUGACGUAUAUGCUCCAAGACGGAUCAAGACCCUCCUCAGAUGAACCUUCUAGUUUAAGUUAAGUAAUAUUUGCCCUAUAUAUAUAUCUCUUGUACUAGCUAGCAAUUAAAAUAUUAAAAUUUAUUAUCAUGUCAGUGUUUGAUAUGUUUUACGGCCUCUUUAUUUUAAAAACUAUUUUGAAGGACGUGUUAUAUAUAUGAUUACUAAAACGUAUUUAUACAUUCGAUUUCAAUUAUACACCUCUCAUUAAGAUACCCCCUCUCCAGGCAGAAAACCUCUCAUUGAGUCAUCAAGUAAUCUAUCUAAACCACUAAAUUUGCCAUAAUCUUUAGUUGUUAACAAUAGAUGAACCCUCAAAACAUUCUAGCUAGGAGUGAGCAGGAAUUCCAAUCCCCCGGUCUGAAUUCAAGAUGAUGUUUAUCAUAAAAUUCAAUACAUUGGAGGGAAAAGCUUGAAAGAAAACAACAAGGCUUCAAACAAGGAACUUGAAGUCAUUUUUGAAGUAUUACUACAAAAUGUAUGUGUGUAUAAUAAGUUAAAAAUCGACUUAAUGAGUCAAAAACCGACUUCAUGUUAUAAAUAUAAGCAAAAAACGACUUCAUGUCACAAGUUGUUUUGAGUCAUGUCCUAGCUUUUAGUUUUUUUUGUUUUGGAGUCUAUCUAUAUAUUGUACUGCUCUCAGAAAUAAAAGACAAGUUUAUUGACAAGCAUAUAUUAUGUGUUCUAUUUCUAUACCUUUUCAGUUUAAUAUUUAAUAGUCAAUACAUUUAUAUCAUAUAAAUUACUAACGAGCUGAUUUGGUAACAGUUCCUAGAGGUUCUCUUGUGCCAAAGAUAUGGAUGAUGAUUGAUAUGAAUAAGAUCAACGGAGAGUCGAUUAGCCUGAGUUAUCAGAUGUUGGCUAGAAGUAAUUAUAUAGCUUUGGCUUUCAAGAUGAUAGUGUUUGUGCUAGCAUAGGGAAUUUGGAGGAUGGUAGAACCGAGUGAUGCAGAUUCACCUGUUGAAUAAAAAAGGGACAAAGUUGCCUUGACCAUGAUUUACUCAUACUUGUUGAUACUGUUGGAUAAGUAAACUAACUCUUGGACUUAGAGGAAGAAUCUGGAACUCUGUUAUAUUCAGUGAAUUUAGGAAUAUGUGAGAACACAAUAAUUAUGAUUCAUAGUACUUGGAAGAUGUAUCUAUUUUGAUUCAUGUAUGAUGUUUUAUAUUCUCCUAUUAUAUAA
Molecule: long non-coding RNA, 1931 nt
Organism: Daucus carota subsp. sativus
Lineage: Eukaryota; Viridiplantae; Streptophyta; Magnoliopsida; Apiales; Apiaceae
Exons: 4
Source: RefSeq, a predicted model, not a curated record